Molecule: non-coding RNA, 109 nt
Organism: Klebsiella pneumoniae IS46
Lineage: Bacteria; Pseudomonadati; Pseudomonadota; Gammaproteobacteria; Enterobacterales; Enterobacteriaceae
Source: Rfam
CACUUUUAUUCAGGAGUCAUACGUUGGACAGUCACCCUUAUUGCGAUUUUCCGGCAAGCUAACGCGAUCAUUUCGCUGCUUGCCGUCCCGGCGGGCAGCAAUCUCUCAG